GCGAAAGUAAGACUGAUACCCAAUGAUAUCUCUAGAAGACAUCUGAAAGAGAUUAAAGAUUUAUCGGUGAUGGAUGGGGAUGCGUCUGAUUAGCUUGUUGGCGGGGUAACGGCCCACCAAGGCAACGAUCAGUAGGGGUUCUGAGAGGAAGGUCCCCCACAUUGGAACUGAGACACGGUCCAAACUCCUACGGGAGGCAGCAGUGAGGAAUAUUGGUCAAUGGACGAGAGUCUGAACCAGCCAAGUAGCGUGCAGGAUGACGGCCCUAUGGGUUGUAAACUGCUUUUAUAAGGGAAUAAAGUGAGUCUCGUGAGACUUUUUGCAUGUACCUUAUGAAUAAGGACCGGCUAAUUCCGUGCCAGCAGCCGCGGUAAUACGGAAGGUCCGGGCGUUAUCCGGAUUUAUUGGGUUUAAAGGGAGCGUAGGCCGGAGAUUAAGCGUGUUGUGAAAUGUAGACGCUCAACGUCUGCACUGCAGCGCGAACUGGUUUCCUUGAGUACGCACAAAGUGGGCGGAAUUCGUGGUGUAGCGGUGAAAUGCUUAGAUAUCACGAAGAACUCCGAUUGCGAAGGCAGCUCACUGGAGCGCAACCGACGCUGAAGCUCGAAAGUGCGGGUAUCGAACAGGAUUAGAUACCCUGGUAGUCCGCACGGUAAACGAUGGAUGCCCGCUGUUGGUCUGAAUAGGUCAGCGGCCAAGCGAAAGCAUUAAGCAUCCCACCUGGGGAGUACGCCGGCAACGGUGAAACUCAAAGGAAUUGACGGGGGCCCGCACAAGCGGAGGAACAUGUGGUUUAAUUCGAUGAUACGCGAGGAACCUUACCCGGGCUUGAAUUGCAGAGGAAGGAUUUGGAGACAAUGACGCCCUUCGGGGCCUCUGUGAAGGUGCUGCAUGGUUGUCGUCAGCUCGUGCCGUGAGGUGUCGGCUUAAGUGCCAUAACGAGCGCAACCCCUCUCCUUAGUUGCCAUCAGGUCAAGCUGGGCACUCUGGGGACACUGCCACCGUAAGGUGUGAGGAAGGUGGGGAUGACGUCAAAUCAGCACGGCCCUUACGUCCGGGGCUACACACGUGUUACAAUGGCAGGUACAGAGAGACGGUCCCUUGCAAAAUGGAUCAAAUCCUUAAAACCUGUCUCAGUUCGGACUGGGGUCUGCAACCCGACCCCACGAAGCUGGAUUCGCUAGUAAUCGCGCAUCAGCCAUGGCGCGGUGAAUACGUUCCCGGGCCUUGCACA
RNAcentral lists this ribosomal RNA (1234 nucleotides) under uncultured bacterium. RNAcentral describes it as "bacterial SSU rRNA". It matches the Rfam family "Bacterial small subunit ribosomal RNA", at positions 151 to 1387 of the family's 1533-position model. The record is from RNAcentral.